CUUGAAAAUUAUAAGUGUGACGAUAGCCAAUGUAGCUGUUGCAAUGUUGGUCUUUGUGGUUUUAAUGUGGUCCCCUUCAAACUGUGAGCUGUAUCAUAAUGAUUACAGCAGAGACUGUUCAAGAAAUUCUAGUGCUGAAUGUUCCAACCAGUUGAACGAGGAAGACAAAGAGACAUUUAAUAAAGCGAGGGGAUAUGAAGCCUAUGGCAACAGUGUAACGUGUCGUAAGGGCUGGUGCUUAACUCAUCAGCAGUGCCAGCAUGUUAGUGGAUAUUACUGGGGACUCUGUACCUUGCCAGACUCAACAAGUG
Molecule: long non-coding RNA, 311 nt
Organism: Schistocerca cancellata (South American locust)
Lineage: Eukaryota; Metazoa; Arthropoda; Insecta; Orthoptera; Acrididae
Exons: 3
Source: RefSeq, a predicted model, not a curated record